CUCAUAUAUUUCAGUGAUGGAAGGAAACCUGUCAAAUCCCUCUUUUACAGUUGAGGAAAUUGAAGAGAAAAGAAACUGCUAAAGAAUUCAAUGGAAGACUGUUAUUGCCCCGUGGGUCUGGUGCAGGCCACCUCAAGUUGUAAAUCUGUGGACUGGAAAGCAAAGAAAAGGCCAAAUGAGCAAGUGUGUACAACCCACUGGGAGGCCUUCCCUUCACUGCUGUUCCUUCAAAGCCACCCAGAAGUGGGGCUGUAGAACUGUCAAUAUCUACAUUCAGAUGUGGAGUGGGGGUUAUGAGUUGAGGUCCAGGGCCAGAAUAGAGAAGCAAUUUCAAUCCUAU
This 340-nucleotide long non-coding RNA is filed under the name Homo sapiens (human). Its description in RNAcentral is "HSALNT0079576". The record is from RNAcentral. Lineage: Eukaryota; Metazoa; Chordata; Mammalia; Primates; Hominidae.